ACAGCCCUUUUUUGUAUUUUAUUUAGCGACAAGGUCUCACUAAAUUACUUAGGGCCUCCCUAAGUUGCUGAGGCUUGCUUUUAAAUCAUGAUUCUUCUGUCUUAGCCUCCAGAGCUGCCGGUAUUACAGAUGUGCGGCACCAUUUUAAUAAUUAUUGAGACAGUUUAAAAUAGGAUAGUCUGGUUCACAAUAUGUCAUCCAUAUUAUCUGUGCUUGGCACAUAGUGGGCAUUUGGUGCAUAAUUCAGCAAUUUCAUUUAAAAAUUGUCUGAAUAAAUAAAUGAAAUAAAUAAAUGAAAGUAUCACAGAUCAGUUGUUAACAGGUGAGCUGAGACUAUGUAAUGGGAUAUAGCAACAGAUAAACAGAGAACAGUAUUGAUUAAUUCAAAAGGUAAAAAGGCAGACAGGUAGUGCCUAAGUCUGCUGACUGGAAGUAAGGUCCUAGACAUUGGGGCACAUUCUGGGGCCUGGGAGAGGGCCUGGGUAGAGGAGGGCAGGCUGAAUUAUGACAGCAGACAAAGCAGGGAUUGACCUAGCACUUGCAGCAAAAUAGGAAUGCAGUUUUCAAAGGUGACACUAGGCUAGGGGCAGACUUUCAGAAGGGAGACUCAAGUACUUAAGUUGGUCCCACCUAAUCUGAUAGGCUCUGGGAGCUGGGGUGAAUUGGCAAACAAUCUCAGUCAUGAUUAGAACUUGGGGACAGAAGCUAAAAUCCAGCCUGGGUUUUCACUUAAUCUCUUUUCCCAUGUUACCAGCAAUAAACUCAGUUUCCUAAGUUUAUUCGGCAAUUUCUUUUAUCUUUAAAAAGGUUUCAUUGGGGAAAAAUCACAGCUGGGUAAGGGAAAAGGUGACUUUUAGAGGCAAGAGAAAGAAUUGAGGGAGCUCUAUAAGCCAUUUCACAUCUCACAUCGAAGAGUUUGAAAGCCACUGAUACAAUACCUACCAGGGGUGGAUACAUGGCUAAAUACAAGACAGGGUAUAAUAUGAAAGAAGUCUUGCUGCUGAAUGGAUGAAGGGAGGAGAAGAUGACUCCUAAAAAAUUCACGUCCUCCAUAAAUCCAUCUUAGAUUGAUCAGAAAGAGAUUAAUGAUUUCUACUGGAACCAAUUUAUCUCAACCUUGAAGUUUAAGUUCUACUCCCCUUGUUCUUCAAUCCCCAACAAAAAAUUUACACUUGAUUUCUUUCCAACUUGCAAAUGGCCAGAACAUACUGUGAAUAAUUUUAAUGUCCCUGUAUGCCUCUGUGUAACAUUCUUAUUUUGUAGUAUAAAUCUUUUUCUCUGUUUUUAUGUAUCAUUGCAACUUGAUUCAGAUUCUAAAUUUGACAGAUAGGAAUUCUCAGACUGCAGGAUAGGCAUCAUGUAGCAAAACUUCAUCAAUUUAUUCACAAUUUAUUCUACCAUGUACUAGAAAUUGACCAGGAAGUUGGAAAUACAAAAAUGAGACACAAUGCCUUCCCUUAACAUGUUCGUGUGAAUGGAGAAAUGAUGUAAACAACUGUGUAUAGCCUUUAUUACAUAGCCCUGAAGUUGUAAAAAUUCCCAAAUCUCAGUAUCUGAUUUAAUUUCUUUCAUUAAAUAUUGACUUGGUGGCUA
Non-coding RNA from Ictidomys tridecemlineatus (thirteen-lined ground squirrel), 1593 nucleotides. Lineage: Eukaryota; Metazoa; Chordata; Mammalia; Rodentia; Sciuridae. The record is from RefSeq and is a predicted model, not a curated record.